UACCACUUGGUAAAAAACUAUCUCGUAAAAGGCACGGUUUAGUAGGUCAAUUCUCGAAAGACCGUGAGGGACUUAAAAG
Molecule: non-coding RNA, 79 nt
Filed under: unclassified sequences
Description: RT-18 RNA
Rfam family: RT-18 RNA
About the family: Clostridiales (Firmicutes). Nearby to self-splicing intron genes
Source: Rfam by way of RNAcentral